Molecule: small RNA, 2207 nt
Filed under: Pan troglodytes (chimpanzee)
Lineage: Eukaryota; Metazoa; Chordata; Mammalia; Primates; Hominidae
Description: retained intron
Source: RNAcentral
UGGGGCUGCCGGACCGUGAGGCUGUGAGUCGCGCGGACGGAGCCGGACAAAAGCGGGCGGCGGCGGCAGGAUGAACAGCAUCAAGAACGUGCCGGCGCGGGUGCUGAGCCGCAGGCCGGGCCACAGCCUGGAGGCCGAGCGCGAGCAGUUCGACAAGACCCAGGCCAUCAGCAUCAGCAAAGCCAUCAACACCCAGGAGGCCCCCGUGAAGGAGAAGCACGCCCGGCGCAUCAUUCUGGGCACACACCACGAGAAGGGGGCUUUCACCUUCUGGUCCUACGCCAUUGGGCUGCCGCUGCCCAGCAGCUCCAUUCUCAGCUGGAAGUUCUGCCACGUCCUCCACAAGGUCCUUCGAGACGGGCACCCCAAUGUGCUGCAUGACUGCCAGCGGUACCGCAGCAACAUCCGGGAGAUUGGAGACCUGUGGGGACAUUUGCAUGACCGCUACGGACAGCUGGUGAAUGUCUACACCAAGCUGCUGCUGACCAAGAUCUCCUUCCACCUCAAGCAUCCCCAGUUUCCCGCGGGCCUGGAGGUGACAGACGAGGUACUGGAGAAGGCAGCUGGGACCGAUGUCAACAACAUCUUCCAGCUCACUGUGGAGAUGUUUGAUUACAUGGAUUGUGAGCUGAAGCUUUCUGAAUCAGUUUUCCGACAGCUCAACACGGCCAUCGCCGUAUCCCAGAUGUCCUCAGGCCAGUGCCGCCUGGCCCCCCUCAUCCAGGUCAUCCAGGACUGCAGCCACCUCUACCACUACACGGUCAAGCUCCUGUUCAAGCUACACUCUUGUCUCCCUGCGGACACCCUGCAAGGCCACAGGGACCGGUUCCACGAGCAGUUUCACAGCCUCAGGAACUUCUUCCGCAGAGCCUCCGACAUGCUGUACUUCAAGCGGCUCAUCCAGAUCCCCCGGCUGCCCGAGGGACCCCCUAACUUCCUGCGGGCCUCAGCCCUGGCUGAGCACAUCAAGCCGGUGGUGGUGAUCCCCGAGGAGGCCCCGGAGGAUGAGGAGCCGGAGAAUCUCAUUGAGAUCAGCACAGGGCCCCCCGUGGGGGAGCCAGUGGUGGUGGCUGACCUCUUCGAUCAGACGUUUGGACCCCCCAAUGGCUCUGUGAAGGACGACAGGGACCUCCAGAUUGAGAGCUUGAAGAGAGAGGUGGAAAUGCUCCGCUCUGAACUGGAGAAGAUCAAGCUGGAGGUGCCGGGGUGGGGAUGGGUGGGGGCCAGGGCCCCUCACGGCCCAGGCAGGGCCCCACGUCACACCUCCUCCCGCAGGCCCAGCGGUACAUCGCGCAGCUGAAGAGCCAGGUGAAUGCACUGGAGGGUGAGCUGGAGGAGCAGCGGAAGCAGAAGCAGAAGGCCCUGGUGGAUAAUGAGCAGCUCCGCCACGAGCUGGCCCAGCUGAGGGCUGCCCAGCUGGAGGGCGAGCGGAGCCAGGGCCUGCGUGAGGAGGCUGAGAGGAAGGCCAGUGCCACAGAGGCGCGCUACAACAAGCUGAAGGAAAAGCACAGUGAGCUCGUCCAUGUGCAUGCGGAGCUGCUCAGAAAGAACGCGGACACAGCCAAGCAGCUGACGGUGACGCAGCAAAGCCAGGAGGAGGUGGCGCGGGUGAAGGAGCAGCUGGCCUUCCAGGUGGAGCAGGUGAAGCGGGAGUCGGAGUUGAAGGUAUGUCCCUUGUGGCACAGGGCCCUGCCCCGGCAUCCCCAGCCCACUGCCCCAGUGACACGCUGUCCUGUCCCAGCUAGAGGAGCAGAGCGACCAGCUGGAGAAGCUCAAGAGGGAGCUGGAGGCCAAGGCUGGAGAGCUGGCCCGCGCACAGGAGGCCCUGAGCCACACAGAGCAGAGCAAGUCGGAGCUGAGCUCACGGCUGGACACGCUGAGUGCGGAGAAGGAUGCUCUGAGUGGAGCUGUGCGGCAGCGGGAGGCAGACCUGCUGGCGGCGCAGAGCCUGGUGCGCGAGACAGAGGCGGCGCUGAGCCGGGAGCAGCAGCGCAGCUCCCAGGAGCAGGGCGAGUUGCAGGGCCAGCUGGCAGAGAGGGUAUGGCCUCCCCAGAUGCAGCAGCACUACUGAGUUCACUGCCAUCUGGCAACCAUCGAUCUGUCUCCGUGAUCUGCCUGUUCUAGAGAUUUCAUGUAAAGGGGAUCAUACACGAUGCAUCCUUUUGUGUCCGGCUUCUUCACUCAGCAUCACGUUGUCAAGGGUCACC